Molecule: long non-coding RNA, 328 nt
Filed under: Mytilus galloprovincialis (Mediterranean mussel)
Lineage: Eukaryota; Metazoa; Mollusca; Bivalvia; Mytilida; Mytilidae
Source: RNAcentral
GGCCUUUAUUUCACUAUAUUAAUGAAUUUAACAUUAACAGUUAUACUAGUACUUAUUGUGUUUAAUUUUAAAGUUAUACUUAUUUAAAAAAAAAAAUUUAUUAUAAAAAAAAAGAUGUGGUAUGAUUGCCAAUGAGACAACUCUAAACAAGGGACCAAAUGACACAGAAGUUAACAAGUAUAGGUCACUGUGCAGUAUUCAACAAAGAGCAAAGUCUGUAUCACAUAGGCUUGACAAACUUUAAACCUUUUCAGUACUACAUUGAAAAUUUUAAACAAUUUUGGUUCAUUGCAAAUAAGAUAAACAAUUGGAUGAAGUUAACAAGAUC